AUUUUAUUUCACAAAUCAGGUGGUAAUUAAGUUUUAAUAAUUAUAAUUAAUAAAAAUUUAAUUGUAUCUAAUCUACAUAUCCACCUUACCCAAACCCUACCCCUACACACCUACCCACGCACCAUUCAUUUCAAAAUACCUAAAAAAUUUCUCUCUCUCUCUCUCAUCUCUUCCAAGCGCAGAAUCGUCGCUUGCAGCAGCCAAGACUUGCAGCCCUCGACAAAAACAUUGUAUUGUCGCCAUUGCACGGCGUUAAGAGCUAACGCAGAAGACGAUCAGUGAUAGUCAUGACACUUCGACGGCGUUGUGAGGCUGCUGACAGCGAAUUCGAUGACUCGCAGUGCGUGGUGAGGCGCUAAUGAUUUGUGUUGACGAAAAGUGGUGGUGGUGUCAGGAGAGUGUUGACUUUGGAGUGGGCUUUGUUGGCCAACCAGAAUGUAGAGUUGGAGGUACUGAAAGCUUAGGACAGGGCGAGGCACCUCGAACAUUGCUGAGUUUUGAUGAUGGCAUCGUGAAUUUCCUGAUCAUUGGUACCUUAGAUCUGUGUUUAGGACUGUAUUAUAGAUACUUUAACUGAUGAUUAUACAUUUAAAGAGUAUAGUCUUUUGUCUAUAAAAGAGAAGUCAAAGACUAAUAAUUAGAUUGAAUGAUUUAGAAUUGAUUAGACAUUAUCUAAUUAUUGAAGCUUUAUAUAUACU
This 698-nucleotide long non-coding RNA is filed under the name Olea europaea subsp. europaea. The record is from RNAcentral. Lineage: Eukaryota; Viridiplantae; Streptophyta; Magnoliopsida; Lamiales; Oleaceae.